GGCGGCUGCCUAAUACAUGCAAGUCGAGCGGACUUGAUGGAGUGCUUGCACUCCUGAWGGUUAGCGGCGGACGGGUGAGUAACACGUAGGUAACCUGCCUGUAAGACUGGGAUAACUAGCGGAAACGUUAGCUAAUACCGGAUAAUUUAUUUUCUCGCAGGGGGAAGUAAUGAAAGACGGAGCAAUCUGUCACUUAUAGAUGGACCUGCGGCGCAGUAGCUAGUUGGUGGGGUAAUGGCUCACCAAGGCGACGAUACGUAGCCCACCUGAGAGGGUGAACGGCCACACUGGGACUGAGACACGGCCCAGACUCCUACGGGAGGCAGCAGUAGGGAAUCUUCCGCAAUGGACGAAAGUCUGACGGAGCAACGCCGCGUGAGUGAUGAAGGUUUUCGGAUCGUAAAGCUCUCUUGCCAGGGAAGAACGUCCGGUAGAGUAACUGCUACCGGAGUGACGGUACCUGAGAAGAAAGCCCCGGCUAACUACGUGCCAGCAGCCGCGGUAAUACA
RNAcentral lists this ribosomal RNA (509 nucleotides) under bacterium SNB-CN90. RNAcentral describes it as "bacterial SSU rRNA". It matches the Rfam family "Bacterial small subunit ribosomal RNA", at positions 38 to 527 of the family's 1533-position model. The record is from RNAcentral.